This 253-nucleotide ribosomal RNA is filed under the name uncultured bacterium. RNAcentral's name for it is "partial 16S ribosomal RNA". It matches the Rfam family "Bacterial small subunit ribosomal RNA", at positions 524 to 776 of the family's 1533-position model. The record is from RNAcentral.
GACGGAGGAUGCAAGCGUUAUCCGGAAUGACUGGGCGUAAAGCGUUCGCAGGUGGCUGUUCAAGUCUGCUGUCAAAGACCGGGGCUUAACCCUAGAAAGGCAGUGGAAACUGAACGGCUGGAGUGCAGUAGGGGUAGAGGGAAGUCCCAGUGUAGCGGUGAAAUGCGUAGAGAUUGGGAAGAACACCGGUGGCGAAAGCGCUCUGCUGGCCUGCAACUGACACUGAGGGACGAAAGCUAGGGGAGCGAAAGGG